UUAGAGUUUUGAUUCCUGGCUCAGGACGAACGCUGGCGGCGUGCCUAAUACAUGCAAGUCGAGCGCAGGAAACCAGUUGACCCCUUCGGGGUGAUUCUGGCGGAAUGAGCGGCGGACGGGUGAGUAACACGUGGGCAACCUGCCUGUAAGACUGGGAUAACUUCGGGAAACCGGAGCUAAUACCGGAUAGUAUUUCCUUUCUCCUGAUUGGAAAUGGAAAGACGGUUUCGGCUGUCACUUACAGAUGGGCCCGCGGUGCAUUAGCUAGUUGGUGGGGUAAUGGCCCACCAAGGCGACGAUGCAUAGCCGACCUGAGAGGGUGAUCGGCCACACUGGGACUGAGACACGGCCCAGACUCCUACGGGAGGCAGCAGUAGGGAAUCUUCCGCAAUGGACGAAAGUCUGACGGAGCAACGCCGCGUGAGCGAUGAAGGCCUUCGGGUCGUAAAGCUCUGUUGUUAGGGAAGAACAAGUACGAGAGUAACUGCUCGUACCUUGACGGUACCUAACCAGAAAGCCCCGGCUAACUACGUGCCAGCAGCCGCGGUAAUACGUAGGGGGCAAGCGUUGUCCGGAAUUAUUGGGCGUAAAGGGCUCGUAGGCGGUUUCUUAAGUCUGAUGUGAAAGCCCACAGCUCAACUGUGGAGGGUCAUUGGAAACUGGGGAACUUGAGUGCAGAAGAGGAGAGUGGAAUUCCACGUGUAGCGGUGAAAUGCGUAGAUAUGUGGAGGAACACCAGUGGCGAAGGCGACUCUCUGGUCUGUAACUGACGCUGAGGAGCGAAAGCGUGGGAGCAA
RNAcentral lists this ribosomal RNA (797 nucleotides) under Terribacillus sp. CUL-LABLG18X18. RNAcentral's name for it is "bacterial SSU rRNA". It matches the Rfam family "Bacterial small subunit ribosomal RNA", at positions 1 to 771 of the family's 1533-position model. The record is from RNAcentral. Lineage: Bacteria; Bacillati; Bacillota; Bacilli; Caryophanales; Bacillaceae.